UUUUAUGAGAGUUUGAUCCUGGCUCAGGACGAACGCUGGCGGCGUGCCUAAUACAUGCAAGUCGAACGCUUCUUUUUCCACCGGAGCUUGCUCCACCGGAAAAAGAGGAGUGGCGAACGGGUGAGUAACACGUGGGUAACCUGCCCAUCAGAAGGGGAUAACACUUGGAAACAGGUGCUAAUACCGUAUAACAAUCGAAACCGCAUGGUUUUGAUUUGAAAACGCUUUCGGGUGUCGCUGAUGGAUGGACCCGCGGUGCAUUAGCUAGUUGGUGAGGUAACGGCUCACCAAGGCCACGAUGCAUAGCCGACCUGAGAGGGUGAUCGGCCACAUUGGGACUGAGACACGGCCCAAACUCCUACGGGAGGCAGCAGUAGGGAAUCUUCGGCAAUGGACGAAAGUCUGACCGAGCAACGCCGCGUGAGUGAAGAAGGUUUUCGGAUCGUAAAACUCUGUUGUUAGAGAAGAACAAGGAUGAGAGUAACUGUUCAUCCCUUGACGGUAUCUAACCAGAAAGCCACGGCUAACUACGUGCCAGCAGCCGCGGUAAUACGUAGGUGGCAAGCGUUGUCCGGAUUUAUUGGGCGUAAAGCGAGCGCAGGCGGUUUCUUAAGUCUGAUGUGAAAGCCCCCGGCUCAACCGGGGAGGGUCAUUGGAAACUGGGAGACUUGAGUGCAGAAGAGGAGAGUGGAAUUCCAUGUGUAGCGGUGAAAUGCGUAGAUAUAUGGAGGAACACCAGUGGCGAAGGCGGCUCUCUGGUCUGUAACUGACGCUGAGGCUCGAAAGCGUGGGGAGCAAACAGGAUUAGAUACCCUGGUAGUCCACGCCGUAAACGAUGAGUGCUAAGUGUUGGAGGGUUUCCGCCCUUCAGUGCUGCAGCUAACGCAUUAAGCACUCCGCCUGGGGAGUACGACCGCAAGGUUGAAACUCAAAGGAAUUGACGGGGGCCCGCACAAGCGGUGGAGCAUGUGGUUUAAUUCGAAGCAACGCGAAGAACCUUACCAGGUCUUGACAUCCUUUGACCACUCUAGAGAUAGAGCUUCCUUCGGGGGCAAAGUGACAGGUGGUGCAUGGUUGUCGUCAGCUCGUGUCGUGAGAUGUUGGGUUAAGUCCCGCAACGAGCGCAACCCUUAUUGUUAGUUGCCAUCAUUCAGUUGGGCACUCUAGCAAGACUGCCGGUGACAAACCGGAGGAAGGUGGGGAUGACGUCAAAUCAUCAUGCCCCUUAUGACCUGGGCUACACGUGCUACAAUGGGAAGUACAACGAGUCGCGAAGUCGCGAGGCUAAGCUAAUCUCUUAAAGCUUCUCUCAGUUCGGAUUGCAGGCUGCAACUCGCCUGCAUGAAGCCGGAAUCGCUAGUAAUCGCGGAUCAGCACGCCGCGGUGAAUACGUUCCCGGGCCUUGUACACACCGCCCGUCACACCACGAGAGUUUGUAACACCCGAAGUCGGUGAGGUAACCUUUUGGAGCCAGCCGCCUAAGGUGGGAUAGAUGAUUGGGGUGAAGUCGUAACAAGGUAGCCGUAUCGGAAGGUGCGGCUGGAUCACCUCCUUUCUAAGGAA
This 1563-nucleotide ribosomal RNA is filed under the name Enterococcus faecium. RNAcentral's name for it is "bacterial SSU rRNA". It matches the Rfam family "Bacterial small subunit ribosomal RNA". The record is from RNAcentral. Lineage: Bacteria; Bacillati; Bacillota; Bacilli; Lactobacillales; Enterococcaceae.